AUGGACUGGACCUGGAGGAUCCUCCUCUUGGUGGCAGCAGCCACAGGUGCCCACUCCCACGUCCAGCUGGUGCAGUCUGGGGCUGAGGUGAAGCAGCCUGGGUCCUCAAUGAAGGUCUCCUGCAAGGCUUCUGGAUACACCUUUACUAGCUCUGUUAUGCAGUGGGUGCGACAGGCCCCUGGACAAGGCCUUCAGUGGAUAGGACGGAUCUGCCCUUACAAUGGUAACACGAAGUAUGCACAGAACUUCCAGGGCAGAGUCACCAUGACCACGGACACGUCCACGAGCACAGCCUGCAUAGAGCUGGGCAGCCUGAGAUCUCAGGACACAGUCGUGUAUUACUGUGCGAAAGACACACAGUGUGACAACCCACAUCCUGAGAGUGUCAGAAACCCCAGGAAGGAGACAGCUGUGGUGGCAUGGAGGAGAUGA
Cercocebus atys (sooty mangabey) is the source of this 432-nucleotide non-coding RNA. The record is from the annotation of a RefSeq genome assembly. NCBI's taxonomy places the organism in Eukaryota, Metazoa, Chordata, Mammalia, Primates, Cercopithecidae.